UGUAAACAUCCUUGACUGGAAGCUGGGGUUCGAACAGCAGGAGCUUUCAGUCGGAUGUUUGCA
This 63-nucleotide microRNA precursor is filed under the name Xyrichtys novacula (pearly razorfish). It matches the Rfam family "mir-30 microRNA precursor family", at positions 9 to 69 of the family's 77-position model. Rfam says of the family: This family consists of the mammalian microRNA (miRNA) precursor mir-30a. Animal miRNAs are transcribed as ~70nt precursors and subsequently processed by the Dicer enzyme to give a ~22nt product. The record is from RNAcentral. Lineage: Eukaryota; Metazoa; Chordata; Actinopteri; Labriformes; Labridae.